Molecule: unclassified non-coding RNA, 235 nt
Filed under: plant metagenome
Description: partial contains small subunit ribosomal RNA, internal transcribed spacer 1, and 5.8S ribosomal RNA
Source: RNAcentral
UUUCCGUAGGUGAACCUGCGGAAGGAUCAUUAACGAGUAAGGGUCAUUCUGGCUCGACCUCAAACCCUUUGUUUAAUUACUAUGUGGCUUUGGCGGGCCCGUUUCACGACCGCCGGAAGUCCUCUGUAUUCUCUCCCGUGCCCGCAAAUAGCCUUCUACAAACUCUUGAUCAAUUGUGAUGUAUGAGUAAUAAAUUUAAUAGUUAAAACUUUCAACAACGGAUCUCUUGGUUCUG